AUUGAACGCUGGCGGCAUGCCUUACACAUGCAAGCCGAACGGCAGCACGGGUGCUUGCACCUGGUGGCGAGUGGCGAACGGGUGAGUAAUACAUCGGAACGUACCUUAUCGUGGGGGAUAACGCAGCGAAAGCUGUGCUAAUACCGCAUACGCCCUGAGGGGGAAAGCGGGGGAUCGCAAGACCUCGCGCGAUUAGAGCGGCCGAUGCCUGAUUAGCUUGUUGGUGGGGUAAAAGCCCACCAAGGCGACGAUCAGUAGCUGGUCUGAGAGGACGAUCAGCCACACUGGGACUGAGAAACGGCCCAGACUCCUACGGGAGGCAGCAGUGGGGAAUUUUGGACAAUGGGGGCAACCCUGAUCCAGCAAUGCCGCGUGAGUGAAGAAGGCCUUCGGGUUGUAAAGCUCUUUUGUCAGGGAAGAAAUCGCACAGGCUAAUACUCUGUGUGGAUGACGGUACCGGCAUAAGAAGCACCGGCUAACUACGUGCCAGCCGCCGCAGUAA
Molecule: ribosomal RNA, 502 nt
Filed under: uncultured bacterium
Lineage: Bacteria
Description: partial 16S ribosomal RNA
Rfam family: Bacterial small subunit ribosomal RNA
Source: RNAcentral